Molecule: ribosomal RNA, 254 nt
Filed under: uncultured bacterium
Lineage: Bacteria
Description: partial 16S ribosomal RNA
Rfam family: Bacterial small subunit ribosomal RNA
Source: RNAcentral
GACAGAGGCCACAAGCGUUAGGCGGAAUCACUGGGCUUAAAGCGUGUGUAGGUGGACGGCUAAGUGCCUUGUGAAAUCCCCCGGCUCAACCGGGGAACCGCUGGGCAUACUGGUCGUCUUGAGCCAUCUAGGGGCAACUGGAACGAACGGUGGAGCGGUGAAAUGCGUAGAUAUCGUUCGGAACGCCAACGGUGAAAACAGGUUGCUGGGGAUGUGCUGACACUGAGACACGGAAAGCCAGGGGAGCAAACGGG